Molecule: ribosomal RNA, 609 nt
Filed under: uncultured archaeon
Lineage: Archaea
Description: bacterial SSU rRNA
Rfam family: Archaeal small subunit ribosomal RNA
Source: RNAcentral
ACUGCUCAGUAACACGUAGCUAACCUACCCUCGGGACGGAGACAACCCCGGGAAACUGGGGUUAAUACCCGAUAGGCGUGGAUUCCUGGAAUGGUUUCACGCCGAAACGUUAACACACCAUGUUUGUGUGCACGCCUGAGGAUGGGGCUGCGGCCGAUCAGGCUGUUGGUGAGGUAACGGCUCACCAAACCUUUGACCGGUACGGGCCGUGAGAGCGGUAGCCCGGAGAUGGACACUGAGACAAGGGUCCAGGACCUACGGGUCGCAGCCGGUACGAAACCUCCACAAUGCACGCAAGUGCGAUGGGGUUACCUCGAGUGCCGCCUGAAGAAGGCGGCUUUUCCAUUGUGUAAUGAGCCGUGGGAAUAAGGGGGGGGCAAGACUGGUGUCAGCCGCCGCGGUAACACCAGCCCCCCGAGUGGUGGGGAUGUUUAUUUGGCCUAAAACGUCCGUAGCCGGCUCGGUAAAUCUCUCGUUAAAUCCAGCGUCCUAAGCGUUGGGCUGCGAGAGAGACUGCCGAACUAGAGGGUGGGAGAGGUCAGCGGUAUUUCUGGGGUAGGGGCGAAAUCCAUUGAUCCCAGGAGGACCACCAGUGGCGAAGGCUGCUGA